Molecule: transfer RNA, 538 nt
Filed under: Oculatella lusitanica LEGE 161147
Lineage: Bacteria; Bacillati; Cyanobacteriota; Cyanophyceae; Oculatellales; Oculatellaceae
Description: 16S-23S ribosomal RNA intergenic spacer
Rfam family: tRNA (bases 284-356)
Source: RNAcentral
UAGGGAGACCUACCCAUUCAGAAUCUGAAAGCACAGUGCAAAUAGGAACUGGAUUGGUCAUCCCAAGGUCGUUCGAGGUAUGAGUGUCUGAGCUUUCAAACUAUUAAAAGGUUCGGUUAUGGGCUAUUAGCUCAGGUGGUUAGAGCGCACCCCUGAUAAGGGUGAGGUCCCUGGUUCGAGUCCAGGAUGGCCCACCUUAGCGGGAGUUGAGAGUUAAGAGUUUUUAGUUUUGGGUUAGUUAUAGCUCAAGAUUUAAGCUUCAAGAUUCAAAACUCUUUUGUUUGGGGGUUUAGCUCAGUUGGUAGAGCGCCUGCUUUGCAAGCAGGAUGUCAGCGGUUCGAGUCCGCUAACCUCCACUGGAGUUGAUAGAGCGAGAGAUAGGAAGAUACAGCAACUUAUCUAGAUUUUGCUAGAGAGCCUGCUGGAUUUGUCCAGCUAGAACCAUGAAAACUGCAUAGCGAAAGAAGAUUUCUGUCAGGUAGUAGAGAUUCAUCUGAUUCAGGUCAGAUGGGUCAUCACAGACACCAAUGAAAUUUGU